This is a non-coding RNA of Acanthosepion pharaonis, 112 nucleotides long. The record is from the annotation of a GenBank genome assembly. NCBI's taxonomy places the organism in Eukaryota, Metazoa, Mollusca, Cephalopoda, Sepiida, Sepiidae.
AUGGCCACAUCCUAUUGAAAUACUGGCUCUCAUACAAUCACUGAAGUUAAGCGACAUUGAGUCUGGUCAGUACUGAGAUGGGUGACCACUUGGGAAUACCAAGUGCUGUAAG